GAUCAUGGCUCAGAAUCAACGCUGGCGGCGUGCCUCAGACAUGCAAGUCGAACGAUUAAAGCUCUCUUCGGAGAGUGUAUAGAGUGGCGCACGGGUGACGUAACACGUAAGUAAAUCUACCCUCGAGUGGGGAAUAACAACCGGAAACGGUUGCUAACACCGCAUAAUGCAGCGGCACCGCAAGGUGACAGUUGUUAAAGAUUUAUCGCUUGAGGAGGAGCUUGUGGCAGAUUAGCUAGUUGGUAGGGUAACGGCUUACCAAGGCUACGAUCUGUAACCGGUCUAAGAGGACGGUCGGUCACACUGACACUGAAUAACGGGUCAGACUCCUACGGGAGGCAGCAGUCGGGAAUUUUGGGCAAUGGGCGAAAGCCUGACCCAGCAACGCCGCGUGAAGGAUGAAGUAUUUCGGUAUGUAAACUUCGAAAGAAUAGGAAGAAUUAAUGACGGUACUAUUUAUAAGGUCCGGCUAACUACGUG
RNAcentral lists this ribosomal RNA (480 nucleotides) under uncultured bacterium. RNAcentral's name for it is "bacterial SSU rRNA". It matches the Rfam family "Bacterial small subunit ribosomal RNA", at positions 15 to 507 of the family's 1533-position model. The record is from RNAcentral.